This is a long non-coding RNA of Rosa chinensis, 279 nucleotides long. RefSeq lists it as uncharacterized. The record is from RefSeq and is a predicted model, not a curated record. Lineage: Eukaryota; Viridiplantae; Streptophyta; Magnoliopsida; Rosales; Rosaceae. The transcript is spliced from 3 exons.
UGUUAUAUGAAACUGUGUUAUUUUUAGGACUAUGAUCCUGAUUACUUGGAGCCUAGUAGACAUCGGCCACGAUUGAAUUAUAAUGAUCCAACAGCUUCAUUUCGCAGAAACCAUUAUGGUGAUACUUAUGGAGCUGGUAGCAGUCUCUACCCUCAUGAAUAUUAUGGUCCUGAAUCUCAUUAUGGUCCACAUUCAUCUUAUUAUGGGCGCAAUCAAUCAUAUGGUGGGGGUCGCUACUAUUAGACCCUAGAACUAUUCGGUAAUACAAAUGGUUUGCAA